This 223-nucleotide ribosomal RNA is filed under the name uncultured prokaryote. Its description in RNAcentral is "partial 16S ribosomal RNA". It matches the Rfam family "Bacterial small subunit ribosomal RNA", at positions 525 to 747 of the family's 1533-position model. The record is from RNAcentral.
ACGGGGGGGGCAAGCGUUGUUCGGAAUUACUGGGCGUAAAGGGCGCGUAGGCGGCCUGCUAAGUCGGACGUGAAAUCCCUCGGCUCAACCGAGGAACUGCGUCCGAUACUGGUGGGCUUGAAUCCGGGAGAGGGAUGUGGAAUUCCAGGUGUAGCGGGGAAAUGCGUAGAUAUCUGGAGGAAAACCGGUGGCGAAGGCGGCAUUCUGGACAAAGAUUGACGCU